RNAcentral lists this ribosomal RNA (419 nucleotides) under Gloydius strauchi (Strauch's pitviper). Its description in RNAcentral is "partial small subunit ribosomal RNA". The record is from RNAcentral. Lineage: Eukaryota; Metazoa; Chordata; Lepidosauria; Squamata; Viperidae.
UUAGAUACCCCACUAUGCCUAGCCGUAACACACAAUUAAACUACCAAUUGUCCGCCAAACAACUACGAGCCAUACUUGAAACUUAAAAGACUUGACGGUACUUCAUCACGACCUAGAGGAGCCUGUCCAAUAACCGACAAUCCACGAUUAACCCAACCCCUUCUUGCCCAACAGUCUAUAUACCGCCGUCGCCAGCUUACCUUGUAAAAGAAAUAAAGUGAGCUAAAUAGUACAACACUAAAACGACAGGUCGAGGUGUAACUUAUGAAGGGGCCAAGAUGGGCUACAUUCUCCAACCGAGAAUACGCAUAACACUAUGAAAUUAGUGUUUGAAGGCGGAUUUAGCAGUAAGAUAAGAAUAAAAUACUUAACUGAACACAACGCAAUGAAGUGCGUACACACCGCCCGUCAUCCCUGCC